RNAcentral lists this ribosomal RNA (497 nucleotides) under uncultured bacterium. RNAcentral's name for it is "partial 16S ribosomal RNA". It matches the Rfam family "Bacterial small subunit ribosomal RNA", at positions 28 to 507 of the family's 1533-position model. The record is from RNAcentral.
GAUGAACGCUGGCGGCGUGCCUAAUACAUGCAAGUCGAGCGAACAGACGAGGAGCUUGCUCCUCUGACGUUAGCGGCGGACGGGUGAGUAACACGUGGAUAACCUACCUAUAAGACUGGGAUAACUUCGGGAAACCGGAGCUAAUACCGGAUAAUAUAUUGAACCGCAUGGUUCAAUAGUGAAAGACGGUUUUGCUGUCACUUAUAGAUGUAUCCGCGCCGCAUUAGCUAGUUGGUAAGGUAACGGCUUACCAAGGCAACGAUGCGUAGCCGACCUGAGAGGGUGAUCGGCAACACUGGAACUGAGACACGGUCCAGACUCCUACGGGAGGCAGCAGUAGGGAAUCUUCCGCAAUGGGCGAAAGCCUGACGGAGCAACGCCGCGUGAGUGAUGAAGGUCUUCGGAUCGUAAAACUCUGUUAUUAGGGAAGAACAAAUGUGUAAGUAACUAUGCACGUCUUGACGGUACCUAAUCAGAAAGCCACGGCUAACUACGUG